RNAcentral lists this long non-coding RNA (371 nucleotides) under Vigna radiata. Its description in RNAcentral is "long non-coding RNA (VRAD_LNC015006)". The record is from RNAcentral. Lineage: Eukaryota; Viridiplantae; Streptophyta; Magnoliopsida; Fabales; Fabaceae.
GAAGUUCCCUAUGGAUAGAGCCACUUUGACUUGAGUCUUGACUGUGAUGUCCCAAUCUUCAUUUAGCCAAUGAAGUUUAUAAGGUUUGGGAUGGGGUAUUACAACAAGAUUCAAUUUUUCAACCAGUCUUGUGCUACAACAAUUGCAGCAAGAACCACUAUCAAUAAUGAGAGAACAAUAAUUUUCUUGAAUUUUACACCUUGUAUGAAAGAUGUUCUCUCUUUGUGAUAAUUUUUCUAGACUUGGUUGACAUUAAGCACCCUUCUUACCAUAAGAAGUUGACAAUCAUCCGCAAACACUUCCUCUUCUUUUUCCAUGUCACUCUCACUAUCACUGGUGGGGGAUUCACUUUCACUGCUAUAAAUGUCCUU